UACGUAGGGUGCUAGCGUUGUCCGGAAUUAUUGGGCGUAAAGAGCGUGUAGGCGGCCAGGUAAGUCUGGUGUGAAAACUCGAGGCUUAACCUCGAGAUGUCAUCGGAAACCAUCUGGCUAGAGUCCGGAAGAGGAGAGUGGAAUUCCUGGUGUAGCGGUGAAAUGCGCAGAUAUCAGGAAGAACACCAAUGGCGAAAGCAGCUCUCUGGGACGGUACUGACGCUGAUACGCGAAAGCGUGGGGAGCGAACAGG
This 253-nucleotide ribosomal RNA is filed under the name uncultured bacterium. Its description in RNAcentral is "partial 16S ribosomal RNA". It matches the Rfam family "Bacterial small subunit ribosomal RNA", at positions 524 to 776 of the family's 1533-position model. The record is from RNAcentral.